GGUGGAUAUAUAUAGAUUAAAGGGUAUGUUAGAGGUAUCAGGGUGGAUAUAUAUAGAUUAAAGGGUAUGUUAGAGGUAUCAGGGUGGAUAUAUAUAGAUUAAAGGGUAUGUUAGAGGUAUCAGGGUGGAUAUAUAUAGAUUAAAGGGUAUGUUAGAGGUAUCAGGGUGGAUAUAUAUAGAUUAAAGGGUAUGUUAGAGGUAUCAGGGUGGAUAUAUAUAGAUUAAAGGGUAUGUUAGAGGUAUCAGGGUGGAUAUAUAUAGAUUAAAGGGUAUGUUAGAGGUAUCAGGGUGGAUAUAUAUAGAUUAAAGGGUAUGUUAGA
This is a long non-coding RNA of Oncorhynchus keta (chum salmon), 320 nucleotides long. RefSeq lists it as uncharacterized. Lineage: Eukaryota; Metazoa; Chordata; Actinopteri; Salmoniformes; Salmonidae. The record is from RefSeq and is a predicted model, not a curated record. The transcript is spliced from 3 exons.